AAACAGCCACCACCUAGGAUAUCAAGUAGAGAGACUCUGCAGAAUGUCACCAGUUAAGAAGAGUCACACAGUGGUUUUCCAUGUAUUACAGAAGAAGGAGGGUGUACAAAGAAGUUUGGCAGAAACUGGGAUCACCCAGGGCCAGCAGUGUGGACAUGAAGGCAGCCCGGGGGCAAAAGGUAUUUACAUGAACACAAGUACCUGUACUCUGACUUUUCUGUUAGACUUGGGACCUCUCUUGCGGGUAGGUUCAACCAGGUCCCCAGAGGAACCUUGACUUACUCUUUGAGUUCCAAUGUACCCCAACAGCAACAACUCUUGUAAAAGAUCUGGCCACUAUCAUGCAUAUUGACAGAGGACAUAUUCAGGGCUUUGGGCUACCCACAAUCCUCUUUGAUUUCUCAAUGCAGUUGGGAUUGUUUUUUUUUUUUUUUUUUCUUUGCAUUUUACCAUAAAACACUAUCUGUUUUUCAGUAACUGAGGGUAGCUAAGGUGGCAGGAUCAUCAUCACCCCUGAGGUAGUCACUCACCCUCUCUGCUGGAUCCAUUAUGAGGCCAAUCUGGCUGCAUGUAUUUCCCCUAAGAACUUGUGGGAUCAUUGGCCUGAAACUGCAAUGGGUCUUUCCAAUUGCCCUCCCCUCUUUCAAUCAAUGGAAUGAUGUCCUGUCUGUCAAUUGAUCACAUGUCAGACUCAAUGAAGUGUUGUCAAUCUCUGCAUAGAUGGGGUUGGCCUCAUUGCUCAAACAAGCUCUCUGCUUAUCCUUCCUGCCGGUGGCCAGUAAAGUUGCAAUCCACAAAGGGAGAAUCACAAUUCUAGGUGUAUUUUGGUCUGUGGAGUAUCAGAGAACACUUGGUUUGAAGAUUUGUUAUUAUAUGUUUACAUUGUAGAAUUUGGAAUAGGAAUGUUUAAAUUUCAUGUGUAAAGAAAAAGAAUGACUUUUCACAUUUUGCUACAUACACUGGGUUACAUGUGACCAUCACCUAAGAGGAGAAAGUCAUUGAAAUCUGAUUUUCACAAGCAGGAGGAUGCUUGGUAAAUUUGAUGAGGUGUAAGGAUAUAACCAAUAUUAGUAAUAUGAUGUCAAGGAACCCUUGCAGUAAGCCUGUCUUCAUCGAUUCAAUAAGAAGAGAGUCAUAGCAAGGACAGCAGCAAUAAGGCUGUUAAUAUUUUUUAUAAGUAGCUAACAUAAAAUUAACCAGGCACCCAAUAUUUGAUAAUGAAAAACAUAAAGAGAUGGAUGCUAGAUAAGGCUGGAAGAUGAGAUUGUUGGACUUUA
This 1277-nucleotide long non-coding RNA is filed under the name Oryctolagus cuniculus (rabbit). Its description in RNAcentral is "lncRNA (ENSOCUG00000036092.1)". Lineage: Eukaryota; Metazoa; Chordata; Mammalia; Lagomorpha; Leporidae. The record is from RNAcentral.